UAGGGAAUCUUCCGCAAUGGACGCAAGUCUGACGGAGCAACGCCGCGUGAGUGAAGAAGGAUUUCGGUUCGUAAAACUCUGUUGUUAGAGAAGAACAGCGCAUAGAGUAACUGUUAUGCGUGUGACGGUAUCUAACCAGAAAGCCACGGCUAACUACGUGCCAGCAGCCGCGGUAAUACGUAGGUGGCAAGCGUUGUCCGGAUUUAUUGGGCGUAAAGCGAGCGCAGGCGGUCAAUUAAGUCUGAUGUGAAAGCCCCCGGCUCAACCGGGGAGGGUCAUUGGAAACUGGUUGACGUGAGUGCAGAAGAGGAGAGUGGAAUUCCAUGUGUAGCGGUGAAAUGCGUAGAUAUAUGGAGAAACACCAGUGGCGAAGGCGACUCUCUGGUCUGUAACUGACGCUGGGGUUCGAAAGCGUGGAUAGCAAACAGG
RNAcentral lists this ribosomal RNA (429 nucleotides) under Bacteroidota bacterium. RNAcentral's name for it is "Bacteroidetes bacterium partial 16S ribosomal RNA". It matches the Rfam family "Bacterial small subunit ribosomal RNA", at positions 355 to 776 of the family's 1533-position model. Lineage: Bacteria; Pseudomonadati; Bacteroidota. The record is from RNAcentral.